UAAGGCGCUGGAGGUGGUCACGUACAAUUUUUGUCACGUUCAAUUUCUUUUGAAGUUUCCCGAUUUGCCCUCACUCCUCGCGUUUCUUUUUCACUAUCGCUUUGCGCACCGCUCGCUCACACACUCUCUCGCUCCUCUCCGCCGCCGGGGUCGCCGCCCUCCGCGGCCCCAGUCGCCGCCCAUCCAUGGCUCCGUAUCACUGCCGCCCCUACCUCCCUCUCUCCGUCGGCAUCUUCCUCUCGCUCCCCACCGCAGGUUUUCUCCCGCAGUCCUUUCGAGGUCAAAGCUCACAUUUUUAUCCGCUGGAUCUGCAGGAACGACGGACAUGAUGCCGGCGCGCGGACCAGUACAAAGCACGGGCCAGCCUUGCACGGCCACCCUGCUCUCUCCUGCUCGCUCCUCCCCUGGGACGCACUGUCCGCGAGGAGGCCUGUUUCUUGGCUGGCGCGGCGGCUCACCGUCAACGGAGCGCGCUCGAGGCGGCGAGAGAUGAGCUGUCUGGUGUGGAUCAAGAAGAGGGGUCCAAGAGCGGGAGGCGGGGGUCGUCGGCCUCGGCCCCGGCCACGACCAUGACCACCACAACAACAGCCACGGGGUCGACGGUGAGCACGAGCCGGUCAGACGACUCCGGGGCGGGGGGGGGGGGGGGGGGGGGCAAACAACCAGCAAGUCCACGGGCUCCGCCUCCUCGCAGCCGAGCAUCUCCUUGCUCUACGAGGAGCGCGGCCACGGCCAGCUGCGCACCAGAGAUGAGGUCAAUGGCCACACCGGCGAGCGGCAACACUAAGGACGGCCGGAUCUGGCCGGAAAGGAGGCAGCAGCGGCGCACUGAAACUUGAGGCCCUUCACCGCGCUCAUGUUCGUCGGAUUGCAAGGUUCUUCAUUGGCUUCUUCAGGUGGAGUGAAAUUGAGGUCUAGAACUACCAUGAUGUCAAUUGAGCCAACGAUUUGUUACUGUUGUUGUCGAGGAUCUGCUGUUGUUGCUUUUAUUGAGGGCUAAUGAUCUGUUCUUAUUGGUUUUGUUGAUGAUAUGUUGUUAUUGCUUCUGUUGAUGAUCAACUGCUGUUGAGACCGGGAGCUACAGUUGAGGAUGUACGGCUGUUGCCAGGGGAGAGCCUGGAGGAGCUCGCGCGUAAGAGGAGCUCCUGGCCUUCUCCUCUGGGCCUGGGCGAACUGGACCUUGCUGGCGACGCGGGGAAGAAGGGAGGCGGUACUGGGCAAGCUUGAUCUUGCCGGCAAGGUGCUCCUGGGAACGGCGGCCGACGGCCGGCGAGGUGCCCUCCUGGGAACAGCGGCCGGCGAGGUGUCCUCCUGGGAACGGCGGCCGGCGGCCGGCGAGGUGUCCUCCUGGGAACGGCGGCCAGCAGGAAGCUGGGCGGCGAGGUGCCUGGACGAGCAGGAAGCUAGGCGGUUAGGAGGAGAUCGUGGGUGGAGGAGAAGCUGGGCGAGGUGGGCAGGGGAGAUCUGGGCGAGGUGGGUGGCGACGAGCUGGGCGGAGACGAGCUCGGCGAGGCGAUCCAGAUGUAUUUUUGAAUUUCAAAUUGAUCGAAGGGGUAUUGUUGUCCAUUACCGAUUUUUUGGGGCUGUCGGAAAAUGUCUUCCGCGCCUUACAAAAGUGAACGGAGGGAGUAAAACAAUCUAUAGACUACUGCAUUUGCAGACAUGUACAGAUGGACUCCAAAUUCAGUUUAUUGAUAAGCUUCUAAUCAUGAAUAAA
Molecule: long non-coding RNA, 1717 nt
Organism: Hordeum vulgare subsp. vulgare (domesticated barley)
Lineage: Eukaryota; Viridiplantae; Streptophyta; Magnoliopsida; Poales; Poaceae
Exons: 2
Source: RefSeq, a predicted model, not a curated record